GAUGAAGAACGCAGCGAAAUGCGAUAACUAAUGUGAAUUGCAGAAUUCAGUGAAUCAUCGAGUCUUUGAACGCACAUUGCGCCCCUUGGUAUUCCAUGGGGCAUGCCUGUUCGAGCGUCAUCUACAACCCUCAAGCCCUGCUUGGUGUUGGGCGUCUGUCCCGCCCCCGCGCGCGGACUCGCCCCAAAUCCAUUGGCGGCGGCCCUUGCCUCCCUCUCGCGCAGCACAUUGCGCUUCUCGAGGCGUCGCGGGCCGCGCUCCACGAAGCACGCAAACCAGUCUUUGACCUCGGAUCAGGUAGGGAUACCCGCUGAACUUAAGCAUAUCAAUAAGCGGAGGA
Molecule: unclassified non-coding RNA, 340 nt
Filed under: soil metagenome
Description: partial contains 5.8S ribosomal RNA, internal transcribed spacer 2, and large subunit ribosomal RNA
Rfam family: 5.8S ribosomal RNA (bases 1-120)
Source: RNAcentral